UGACAGUGCGCUUACAUAUAAUAAUAAAUUC
RNAcentral lists this non-coding RNA (31 nucleotides) under Mus musculus (house mouse). Lineage: Eukaryota; Metazoa; Chordata; Mammalia; Rodentia; Muridae. The record is from RNAcentral.